GCCUUAAGGAUUUGAUAUGCACUAACCCAGCGUUUAGAGCACUCCUCCUCAGACUCUCAUCACAUCCUGCUGUCAAGGAUGUAGAUGUGUAUGAACGUUUGAUAUGACCGCAAGCCUUUUCCUCUCUCAACAUGCCUGCAGCGAUGCACCUCACUGUGCUGGUGUCCCUGCUUGCAGUGACUGUUUCUAAAGACGCCACAACUUCCUCCACAACCAAACAGGUAACAGAGAUAAUCACAAAUGCUGCACACCACAUCAGUUUGGCUACAAAGAACAAUACUAGCAUUGUGAAAGACAUCACCACACCACAAGAGCUAACAACAACAACUGACCGGAUUACCACUACAGUCCCUUCAAAAAAUGUGUCAUCAUCACCACUGCCGGCUUCCACACAGACGGCGAGCACGAGAGAGGAAACACAUUCCAGUGUCUCUUCUCAGAUUACAACGACCUACCAGACGUCCAACGAGACAGUUUCCCACGGAUCGACACUCCCACAAGCAUCAGAAUCACCAAACACCACUGCAACCACCACUGCAAACACAACCAGUCCAGGUCUUUUACCUGAAUGGGAUAAAGGUGACUUGUCAGAAAAUCCCGGCCUUGUGGCCAUCCUUUGCAUCUUCUGUAUCAUCAUCGCCCUUCUGCUGGUGGUUGUCACUGUGAAAUGUAUCCGAUCACCGAGGUCCAACUUUGAGAGGCUUGAAGACGUUCCCAUGAACAAAGUGAACGAGGGGUCUCCGUUCGCCCAGUACUCAAAAUGACAGAGGAAACUUCAUCAGACAUCCAGGAGGAGUCUGGUCUGCUGUACAACUCUGAUGAUUCUGGACAGAAAAGAAAACAGAAAUGUUGUCCAGACAAAACAACUUUUAUGUUUUUCUCUCUUAUUUCUUAACAAAGCACUUUUAUCAAGGAGAGUGAAGUAUUUAUGCCUCAUCUUUGACCUUUGACCUGCUUGUAUGGUUGCUUUUACCUCUACUGAUUGAAGCUGAAUCAAUUGUUGCACUAACUCUUCCUUUAUAGUUUAUUUUGAAAGAGUAUCAGCCUGAAAGAUACAAAUGUAAAUUGAAUGUUUCCAAAAUUGGUGAUGUAUUUCUUUAUUAACACUUAAAAUGAAUAAUUGCACUCAAGUAACAAGUGACAUUAUAAGAAUACAUUUUAAGUUUCCAUGAUAAUUAUUUUGUCGUCAACAGUGCUCAGGAAGAUGUAUUUCCAGUGUUGAAAGUUUACGGGAAUAAAGUUAUCUGCAUGUACACAUGCAUUUUUGAGCAAUUAUUAUUACUAUAUAUUAUUAUUAUUAUUAUACAUAUAAAUAUAACUAAUUGGAAUGCACAAGUUCAUGUCAAAUAUAUGUUUUUAUUAUGUUAUUUAUUGCCAUAUACUAUGAUGUAUAAAUAAUGUCUACCCUGGCCUGAGACAUCCAAAGUAAAUGUUUUUGAAGUCCAAAAACAGUUUUGAAUAAUAAUCUAAUUUGUUGAGUCAAAUUUCAGCAAGAACAAUGAAGAAACACAAUUUAAUAGAAUUAUUAUGGCCAAAAAACAUGAAGACUGCCAACUAACCAGUGAAAGAUAUGGAAAAAAUGACAAAGGUAAUAUACGAAGACUGGCUAGAAAUAAUGCCAACAAGUGCAGGUAUUGUACUUUGGCUCGCUGAACCUGCAAAUUCAACUAGUUUAUAUGUGUUGGCUAUUAAGUAAUCCUAGUAAAUUAGAUUAUUUCUGCCUUAACAAACAAUACAAUGAGUCUGCAGAAACACGACAUACAAUUCCUCGUUUUUUUUUAUCUUUACACCUCAAAGACAAAAUUGUUUUCACUCUGUAUACCUCUUCACAAACAAUGUUGACACAUGUAAUCCUUUACUGAAUCAUAAGUGUGUGGCAAAGCUGCUCUCAUUCAUUAAUGUUAACUCUGCUGACAUACAUCUCUCUAAAGUGAUGACAGAGACACAGCUUUCUUUCAAUCAAGAAUAAUAUUUUCAGACUACUUGAAAAUGUUAUAAAUAAUAUUCCACUUACCUGUUUCAGAAAAAGUAAUUUUACUGCAUGUUUACACUCAGGGAUUUCAGUAAAUCAUAGUUUUAAAAGUAUAGAUGAUCCUCAUAUAACCCAGC
Molecule: long non-coding RNA, 2109 nt
Filed under: Cottoperca gobio
Lineage: Eukaryota; Metazoa; Chordata; Actinopteri; Perciformes; Bovichtidae
Description: lncRNA (ENSCGOG00000014124.1)
Source: RNAcentral